GAUGAACGCUGGCGGCGUGCCUAACACAUGCAAGUCGAGCGAACGGACGAGAAGCUUGCUUCUCUGAUGUUAGCGGCGGACGGGUGAGUAGCACGUGGAUAACCUACCUAUAAGACUGGGAUAACUUCGGGAAACCGGAGCUAAUACCGGAUAAUAUUUUGAACCGCAUGGUUCAAAAGUGAAAGACGGUCUUGCUGUCACUUAUAGAUGGAUCCGCGCUGCAUUAGCUAGUUGGUAAGGUAACGGCUUACCAAGGCAACGAUGCAUAGCCGACCUGAGAGGGUGAUCGGCCACACUGGAACUGAGACACGGUCCAGACUCCUACGGGGGGCAGCAGUAGGGAAUCUUCCGCAAUGGGCGAAAGCCUGACGGAGCAACGCCGCGUGAGUGAUGAAGGUCUUCGGAUCGUAAAACUCUGUUAUUAGGGAAGAACAUAUGUGUAAGUAACUGUGCACAUCUUGACGGUACCUAAUCAGAAAGCCACGGCUAACUACGUG
RNAcentral lists this ribosomal RNA (497 nucleotides) under uncultured bacterium. RNAcentral's name for it is "partial 16S ribosomal RNA". It matches the Rfam family "Bacterial small subunit ribosomal RNA", at positions 28 to 507 of the family's 1533-position model. The record is from RNAcentral.